CGAAUGCUGACAUAAGUAACGAUAAAGCGGGUGAAAAGCCCGCUCGCCGGAAGACCAAGGGUUCCUGUCCAACGUUAAUCGGGGCAGGGUGAGUCGACCCCUAAGGCGAGGCCGAAAGGCGUAGUCGAUGGGAAACAGGUUAAUAUUCCUGUACUUGGUGUUACUGCGAAGGGGGGACGGAGAAGGCUAUGUUGGCCGGGCGACGGUUGUCCCGGUUUAAGCGUGUAGGCUGGUUUUCCAGGCAAAUCCGGAAAAUCAAGGCUGAGGCGUGAUGACGAGGCACUACGGUGCUGAAGCAACAAAUGCCCUGCUUCCAGGAAAAGCCUCUAAGCAUCAGGUAACAUCAAAUCGUACCCCAAACCGACACAGGUGGUCAGGUAGAGAAUACCAAGGCGCUUGAGAGAACUCGGGUGAAGGAACUAGGCAAAAUGGUGCCGUAACUUCGGGAGAAGGCACGCUGAUAUGUAGGUGAGGUCCCUCGCGGAUGGAGCUGAAAUCAGUCGAAGAUACCAGCUGGCUGCAACUGUUUAUUAAAAACACAGCACUGUGCAAACACGAAAGUGGACGUAUACGGUGUGACGCCUGCCCGGUGCCGGAAGGUUAAUUGAUGGGGUUAGCGCAAGCGAAGCUCUUGAUCGAAG
Molecule: ribosomal RNA, 641 nt
Filed under: Escherichia coli
Lineage: Bacteria; Pseudomonadati; Pseudomonadota; Gammaproteobacteria; Enterobacterales; Enterobacteriaceae
Description: partial 23S ribosomal RNA
Rfam family: Bacterial large subunit ribosomal RNA
Source: RNAcentral